AUGAACGCUGGCGGCGUGCCUAACACAUGCAAGUCGAACGGAGUCCAGCCUUUAAGACCUUCGGGUCAAAGAGGGGAAGACUGAGUGGCGGUCGGGUGAGUAACACGUGGGCAACCUGGCUCAUAGAGGGGGAUAACAGAGAGAAAUUUCUGCUAAUACCGCAUAAGCACACACUGCCGCAUGGCAGAGGGUGAAGAGAGAAUCGCUAUGAGAUGGACCCGCGUCUGAUUAGCCAGUUGGCAGGGUAAGAGCCUACCAAAGCGACGAUCAGUAGCCGAUCUGAGAGGAUGAACGGCCACAUUGGGACUGAGACACGGCCCAAACUCCUACGGGAGGCAGCAGAGGGGGAUAUUGCACAAUGAAGGGAACCCUGAUGCAGCGACGCCGCGUAAGUGAAGAAGUAUUUCGGUAUGUAAAGCUCUAUCAGCAGGGAAGAGAAUGACAGUACCUGAAUAAGAAGCCACGGCUAACUACGUG
Molecule: ribosomal RNA, 477 nt
Filed under: uncultured bacterium
Lineage: Bacteria
Description: partial 16S ribosomal RNA
Rfam family: Bacterial small subunit ribosomal RNA
Source: RNAcentral